Molecule: ribosomal RNA, 777 nt
Filed under: uncultured Neocallimastigales
Lineage: Eukaryota; Fungi; Neocallimastigomycota; Neocallimastigomycetes; Neocallimastigales
Description: partial large subunit ribosomal RNA
Rfam family: Eukaryotic large subunit ribosomal RNA
Source: RNAcentral
UUAUCUCUGUAGAGUCUGCAUAUCAAUAAGCGGAGGAAAAGAAACUAACUAGGAUUCCCUCAGUAACGGCGAGUGAAGCGGGAAGAGCUCAAAUUUGAAAUCUUCAAGGUUCUACCUUGACGAAUUGUAGUUUAAAGAAGUGUUUUCUGUUGGAGUUUUGGUAAAAGUUCUUUGGAAUAGGACAUCAUAGAGGGUGAGAAUCCCGUAUUUGACCAUUAUUUCCAGCUUUGUGAUACACUUUCAAAGAGUCGGAUUGUUUGGGAAUGCAGUCCAAAAUGGGUGGUAAAUUUCAUCUAAAGCUAAAUACUGGCGAGAGACCGAUAGCGAACAAGUACCGUGAGGGAAAGAUGAAAAGAACUUUGAAAAGAGAGUUAAACAGUACGUGAAAUUGUCAAAAGGGAAGCGUUUGACACCAGUGUUGUUUUCUCGAAAAUCAAUUAAAAAAGGCAGGAUUUUGUGUUGUAUUGUACUUUAUCAGCUUUCUGCACUCUUUUCUUGUCUUUUUUAAUGCACUUUUCGUUUAACAAGUCAACAUCAAUUUCUUUUGUUGUAAAAGGGUCAUUGGAAGGUGGCUUUCUUUUCGGAGAAAGUGUUUAUAGCCUUUGGCCUCUGCAAUCGGAGAGAUUGAGGUCUGCAGCGUAGAUCCUUCGGGGUUAGAUACACUUUGUGCUAAGUUAUAGCCUUUCAUAGACAACUUGUUGACUAUGAUCAGUCAUGUAGCUUACUCGCUUAUGCUAUUUUACCUACGCUUAGGAUGUUGAAGAUGUAGCACAUCAU